RNAcentral lists this ribosomal RNA (1479 nucleotides) under uncultured Mycoplasma sp. RNAcentral describes it as "bacterial SSU rRNA". It matches the Rfam family "Bacterial small subunit ribosomal RNA". The record is from RNAcentral. Lineage: Bacteria; Bacillati; Mycoplasmatota; Mollicutes; Mycoplasmatales; Mycoplasmataceae.
GUUUGAUCCUGGCUCAGGAUGAACGCAGGCUGUGUGCCUAAUACAUGCAUGUCGAACGAAGUACUUGUACUUAGUGGCAAAUGGGUGAGUAACACGUACCUAACCUGCCUUUUAGAUUGGGACAACCACGGGAAACUGUGGCUAAUACCAAAUAUGUAUAAUUAACAUAUGUUUUUUAUAUGAAAGGAAGCGAUUGCUUUGCUAAAAGAUAGGGGUGCGCUACAUUAGCUUGUUGGUAGGGUAAAAGCCUACCAAGGCUAUGAUGUAUAGUGGGAUCGAGAGGUUGAACCACCACACUGGGAUUGAGAUACGGCCCAGACUCCUACGGGAGGCAGCAGUAGGGAAUAUUCCACAAUGAGCGAAAGCUUGAUGGAGCGACACAGCGUGUAGGAUGAAUGCCUUAGGGUUGUAAACUACUGUUAUAAGAGAAGAAUAGCUAAAAAAGGAAAUGUUUUUAGUCUGACGGUAUCUUAUCAGAAAGCAGUUGCAAACUAUGUGCCAGCAGCAGCGGUAAUACAUAGACUGCAAGCGUUAUCCGGAAUUAUUGGGCGUAAAGCAUUCGUAGGUUGUUUAUUAAGUUUGGUGUUAAAAACAAAAGCUCAACUUUUGUUUGCAUUAAAUACUAAUAGACUAGAGUUAUAAAGAGGUUAAUGGAACUCCAUAUGAAGCGGUGGAAUGCGUAGAUAUGUGGAAGAACACCAAUGGCGAAGGCAAUUAACUGGAUAUACACUGACACUGAGGGAUGAAAGCGUGGGGAGCAAACAGGAUUAGAUACCCUGGUAGUCCACGCUGUAAACGAUGUUUGUUAAUCGGUGGUGAAAUCACUGAUACAGCUAACGCAAUAAACAAACCGCCUGAGUAGUAUGCUCGCAAGAGUGAAACUUAAAGGAAUUGACGGGGAGCCGCACAAGCGGUGGAGCAUGUGGUUUAAUUCGAAGAUACGCGAAGCACCUUACCAACAUUUGACAUCUUUUGCAAAGGCAUAGAGAUAUGCUGGAGGAUAACAAAAAGACAGGUGGUGCAUGGCCGUCGUCAGCUCGUGCCGUGAGGUGUUGGGUUAAGUCCUAUAACGAGCGCAACCCUUUUCUUUAGUUACUAACAUUUAGUUGAGCACUCUAAAGAUACUGCCUAGGUAACUAGGAGGAAGGAGGGGAUGAGGUAGGUCAUCAUGCCUCUUACAUGUUGGGUUACACACGUGCUACAAUGGCAAAUACAAAGAGAAGCAAAAUCGUGAGGUGGAGCAAAUCUGUAAAAUUUGUCUCAGUUCGGAUUGGAGUCUGCAACUCGACUCCAUGAAGUAGGAAUCGCUAGUAAUCCUAGAUCAUCAAUGCUAGGGUGAAUACGUUCUCGGCUCUUGUACACACCGCCCGUCAAACCAUGGGAGUUGGUAAUACCCAAAGCUAGUUAGUUAACCAUUUAUUUGGAGGCAACUAUCUAAGGUAGGAUCAAUGACUGGGGUUAAGUCGUAACAAGGUAGCC